RNAcentral lists this transfer RNA (76 nucleotides) under Candidatus Babelota bacterium. Its description in RNAcentral is "Candidatus Dependentiae bacterium tRNA-Lys". It matches the Rfam family "tRNA". From Rfam's summary of the family: Transfer RNA (tRNA) molecules are approximately 80 nucleotides in length. Their secondary structure includes four short double-helical elements and three loops (D, anti-codon, and T loops). The record is from RNAcentral. RNAcentral also lists the same sequence under 1 other name.
GGGCCGCUAGCUCAGUUGGUAGAGCAUCAGCCUUUUAAGCUGAGGGUCGUUGGUUCGAGCCCAACGCGGCUCACCA